This 857-nucleotide long non-coding RNA is filed under the name Setaria viridis. Its description in RNAcentral is "long non-coding RNA (SVIR_LNC011357)". Lineage: Eukaryota; Viridiplantae; Streptophyta; Magnoliopsida; Poales; Poaceae. The record is from RNAcentral.
CGAGCACUCCCCGGCGUCCGCGGACCGCGCGCUGCCCAGCGCGGAGGGGGCAUGCGCAUUCGCUUGCGCCCCCGGUUGCCAUGCAUGGAGCACAAGCACAAAAGCGUGCUCGCUCCUACGACUGCGCCCGUCUAUUUUGAUGCUUGCGGCUCUCCGAAUUUAGCCAUCCAGCUAGCCUCGUCGAGCGAUGGAGCUCUCCCUCCCUCCUCCCAUCCUCCGCCAGUCGCCGCAUAGCCGGGCGGCGGGUGAUGAGCCACCGGCCACUCAACUUUUCUCUCCAGUUCGGGGGUGCAAGCCAAGAAGGUGGACACAUGCCUGGGAGCGGCCGGUGUCAAGAGCCAUUGCUUCCUUCCUCUCCGAACAAGUGUGGUUCUUGUUCUUUAUUUUCUCCCCCGAUCGAUGAAGCAUUGAUGCCGUGUCGUCUUUUCAAACUCUCGUGUUCGUGCAAAUUUUUCGACUAUCUUCGUGUGUGCAUUGUGCAUGGAUCAGAGGAUAUCAAGAGGAAAUCCCACGGGAGGACAGGUUGAUAACCCAACAAUGUUGACGCCAGCCGGCUUUGUCUUUGUAUCGAAAUGCCACCCCCUCCAAUGCCUGUCGCUUCCGGUUCCAGGUACUUUCCAUACCAAAUCCUCUCGUUUUAUAGGAGUUGUUUUAAAAUGUAAUUUUGUUGAAACUCUGUAUGGCUCGUCAAUGCUAUCUCUCAUAGCUGCACUUUAGGGGAUCGUGUCACAUGGAACCCUACGUAGUUUGUUCAGAGGUUGGAACUUGGAAGUAUCAACGCCGCUGCAGCCAGUAGUCUGGACAAGCCGGGCACACACAUCGGUGGCAUACAGCCGUUUCUCCUAGAAAGGAAUAGU